Molecule: ribosomal RNA, 1302 nt
Filed under: Lamprospora pseudoarvensis
Lineage: Eukaryota; Fungi; Ascomycota; Pezizomycetes; Pezizales; Pyronemataceae
Description: SSU rRNA
Rfam family: Eukaryotic small subunit ribosomal RNA
Source: RNAcentral
UUAUACAGUGAAACUGCGAAUGGCUCAUUAAAUCAGUUAUCGUUUAUUUGAUAGUACCUUACUACUUGGAUAACCGUGGUAAUUCUAGAGCUAAUACAUGCUAAAAAUCCCGACCUCCGGAAGGGAUGUAUUUAUUAGAUAAAAAACCAAUGCCUUCGGGCUUCUUGGUGAUUCAUGAUAACUUUACGAAUCGCAUGGCCUUGUGCUGGCGAUGGUUCAUUCAAAUUUCUGCCCUAUCAACUUUCGAUGGUAGGAUAGUGGCCUACCAUGGUUUCAACGGGUAACGGGGAAUUAGGGUUCGAUUCCGGAGAGGGAGCCUGAGAAACGGCUACCACAUCCAAGGAAGGCAGCAGGCGCGCAAAUUACCCAAUCCCGACACGGGGAGGUAGUGACAAUAAAUACUGAUACAGGGCCCAUCUGGGUCUUGUAAUUGGAAUGAGUACAAUUUAAACCCUUUAACGAGGAACAAUUGGAGGGCAAGUCUGGUGCCAGCAGCCGCGGUAAUUCCAGCUCCAAUAGCGUAUAUUAAAGUUGUUGCAGUUAAAAAGCUCGUAGUUGAACUUUGGGUCUGGGUGACUGGUCUGCGUCUACCGUAUGUACUGGAAACCCGGAUCUUUCCUUCUGGAGAACCGCAUGCACUUCACUGGGUGUGCCGGGGAACCAGGACUUUUACUUUGAAAAAAUUAGAGUGUUCAAAGCAGGCAUUUGCUCGAAUACAUUAGCAUGGAAUAAUAAAAUAGGACGUGCGGUUCUAUUUUGUUGGUUUCUAGGACCGCCGUAAUGAUUAAUAGGGAUAGUCGGGGGCAUCCGUAUUCGAUUGUCAGAGGUGAAAUUCUUGGAUUUUUCGAAGACGAACUACUGCGAAAGCAUUUGCCAAGGAUGUUUUCAUUAAUCAGGAACGAAAGUUGAGGGAUCGAAGACGAUCAGAUACCGUCGUAGUCUCAACCAUAAACUAUGCCGACUAGGGAUUGGGCGACUGUGUUUUUUGAGUUGCUCAGCACCUUACGAGAAAUUAAAGUUUUUGGGUUCUGGGGGGAGUAUGGUCGCAAGGCUGAAACUUAAAGGAAUUGACGGAAGGGCACCACCAGGAGUGGAGCCUGCGGCUUAAUUUGACUCAACACGGGGAAACUCACCAGGUCCAGACACAUUAAGGAUUGACAGAUUGAGAGCUCUUUCUUGAUCAUGUGGGUGGUGGUGCAUGGCCGUUCUUAGUUGGUGGAGUGAUUUGUCUGCUUAAUUGCGAUAACGAACGAGACCUUAACCUGCUAAAUAGCUGGGCUCGCUUUCGCGGGUUCUUGGCUU